RNAcentral lists this ribosomal RNA (191 nucleotides) under uncultured Wautersiella sp. RNAcentral's name for it is "partial 16S ribosomal RNA". It matches the Rfam family "Bacterial small subunit ribosomal RNA", at positions 335 to 524 of the family's 1533-position model. The record is from RNAcentral. Lineage: Bacteria; Pseudomonadati; Bacteroidota; Flavobacteriia; Flavobacteriales; Weeksellaceae.
ACUCCUACGGAGGCAGCAGUGAGGAAUAUUGGACAAUGGGUGGAAGCCUGAUCCAGCCAUCCCGCGUGUAGGAUGACGGCCUUAUGGGUUGUAAACUACUUUUAUCUGGGGAUAAACCUACUCACGUGUGAGUAGCUGAAGGUACCAGAAGAAUAAGCACCGGCUAACUCCGUGCCAGCAGCCGCGGUAAU